This 497-nucleotide ribosomal RNA is filed under the name uncultured bacterium. RNAcentral describes it as "partial 16S ribosomal RNA". It matches the Rfam family "Bacterial small subunit ribosomal RNA", at positions 28 to 507 of the family's 1533-position model. The record is from RNAcentral.
GACGAACGCUGGCGGCGUGCCUAAUACAUGCAAGUUGAGCGAUGAAGAUUGGUGCUUGCACCAAUUUGAAGAGCAGCGAACGGGUGAGUAACGCGUGGGGAAUCUGCCUUUGAGCGGGGGACAACAUUUGGAAACGAAUGCUAAUACCGCAUAAUAACUUUAAACAUAAGUUUUAAGUUUGAAAGAUGCAAUUGCAUCACUCAAAGAUGAUCCCGCGUUGUAUUAGCUAGUUGGUGAGGUAAAGGCUCACCAAGGCGAUGAUACAUAGCCGACCUGAGAGGGUGAUCGGCCACAUUGGGACUGAGACACGGCCCAAACUCCUACGGGAGGCAGCAGUAGGGAAUCUUCGGCAAUGGACGAAAGUCUGACCGAGCAACGCCGCGUGAGUGAAGAAGGUUUUCGGAUCGUAAAACUCCGUUGGUAGAGAAGAACGUUGGUGAGAGUGGAAAGCUCAUCAAGUGACGGUAACUACCCAGAAAGGGACGGCUAACUACGUG